AUGCAGAGUGUGUGCAUUAUAUACACACACUCUGUAUAUAAUGCAGAGUGUGUGUAUAUAAUGCACACACUCUGCAUUUU
This 80-nucleotide microRNA precursor is filed under the name Pelobates cultripes (western spadefoot toad). The record is from RNAcentral. Lineage: Eukaryota; Metazoa; Chordata; Amphibia; Anura; Pelobatidae.